Microtus ochrogaster (prairie vole) is the source of this 103-nucleotide small nuclear RNA. The record is from Ensembl. Lineage: Eukaryota; Metazoa; Chordata; Mammalia; Rodentia; Cricetidae.
GGGCUUGCUUCGGCAGCACAUAUACUAAAUUGGAAACAUACGGAGAUCAGCAUGGCCCCUGCACAAGGAUGGCAUGUGAAUUUGUGAAGUGUUCCAUAUUUUU